Schistosoma margrebowiei is the source of this 45-nucleotide non-coding RNA. The record is from Rfam. NCBI's taxonomy places the organism in Eukaryota, Metazoa, Platyhelminthes, Trematoda, Strigeidida, Schistosomatidae.
AUCCGGUUGACGAGUCCCAAAUAAAACGAAACACACGUCCUGGAU